Molecule: ribosomal RNA, 404 nt
Filed under: uncultured Methanosaeta sp.
Lineage: Archaea; Methanobacteriati; Methanobacteriota; Methanomicrobia; Methanotrichales; Methanotrichaceae
Description: bacterial SSU rRNA
Rfam family: Archaeal small subunit ribosomal RNA
Source: RNAcentral
CGACAGCAAUAUGAAGGUCAGGCUGAAGACCUUACCCGAUUAGCUGAGAGGUGGUGCAUGGCCGUCGUCAGUUCGUACUGUGAAGCAUCCUGUUAAGUCAGGCAACGAGCGAGACCCACGUCCACAGUUGCCAGCAUACCCUCCGGGGUGAUGGGUACACUGUGGAGACCGCCGCUGCUAAAGCGGAGGAAGGAGUGGGCAACGGUAGGUCAGUAUGCCCCCGAAUCUCCCGGGGCUACACGCGGGCUACAAUGGUUGGUACAAUGGGCAUCUACCCCGAAAGGGGAAGGAAAUCUCUUAAAGCCAAUCGUAGUUCGGAUUGAGGGCUGCAACUCGCCCUCAUGAAGCUGGAAUCCGUAGUAAUCGCGUUUCAACAGAACGCGGUGAAUACGUCCCUGCUCCUU